This is a long non-coding RNA of Passer domesticus (house sparrow), 2132 nucleotides long. RefSeq lists it as uncharacterized. The transcript is spliced from 4 exons. The record is from RefSeq and is a predicted model, not a curated record. Lineage: Eukaryota; Metazoa; Chordata; Aves; Passeriformes; Passeridae.
GUGGGGACUGCAGGAUUUGGUUUCAUAGGGGUUUACAAAGCACAGCUUUCAGAGCCAUUGAAAGAAAUCAGGACGGCAGCUUUUCUGGUUUGCCUAUUUGUGAUGUCUUUUUGCUGCCACUUUGGUUUAUGCCAUUGCUUCCCUGGAGAUGUCCAGCCACUUUGUCAAAGGGGAACACAGACUGGAGAUGGAAGCAAACCAGGCCACUGGUGUCGGAAGACUAUAGGGAAUGACAACGUGCUGAUGAGGGCUGUCUGGGGAGGAAGCUGUAAGGAGCAAUGAGGACCCCCCCGCCCCGCCCCAGCUUCCUGCUCUCCAAAUUAGGCAAGCCAGAGCCCUUACCUGGUCCUCACAGGACAAUCCUCCCAUCCUUUUCACUACUUCUAUUGCCUUCCUCUGGAUGCAUUCAAAGACCCUUGUGUCCAUCUUAAACUCUGGGGCCCAGACCUUCAUACAGCAUUGGAAGUGAGGCUGUACCCAUGCUGAAUACAGCAGGAUAAUCACCUUUUUUGACCAGCUGCUGAUACUGCACCUCAGGAUAUUUUCCCUCUUGCCUGCCAGGGCCCACUGCUGACUCACACUGAACCUGCUGUCAGUCAGCACCUACAGGUCUCUUUUUCCAGGGUUGCUCUCCUAUCACCCUUCUCUGAAUUUAUACUUUUGUUCAGAAUUACUCUGUGCCAGGUGAAAAAUACAGUAAUUAUUUUUGUAAAAUCUCACAACAUGGAUUGUUAAUAGUAUCUUACAAGGGGUACCGUAAAAAGCUUAAAGGUAUAGAAGAGGUGGGAUAGAUGAAGCAAGAAAUUGCAUCUACUAACUUGGCUUCUUCAGAGUUGAAAACCUGGAAAAUACAUAAAGGUCUAUGAAAUGGCAUGCAGAAAAAAGAAUACAAAAUUCACUUCUCAUCCAUGGGCUAGAGGGCAGGAAAUAACACUAAUAGUGCCUUAGGACCAUCUCUCCAAGCACCUCCCACCCAAGUUCUAUAGAGUUGUAUAAAUCAGAUGGAUAAAGUCAUGGGAGAAAGUUCUGCUGCAGGCUGUGGAACAGAGGCUGACCGUCUCUGGCUUAGGAAGCUACUGGAAAAAUGUCACAUCACACUUGCUGCCUUCCUAUGCUUGUGGUCACAGCUCAUGGUGGGGUACUUCGUUAUGGUACAUAUCUUUAUUCUUCAGUUAGAAAUAAUGUUUGCACGGAAUGUACAAAUGAGUAAUUGCAUUGUUUUUCCCUUCUAACUGGCUGAGAAAAUGUUCUGGUCUGGCUACUUUAGCAUCCCAGAUACAGUCAAGUGAGGUGGUAUUUGUCUUUUUGGAGCCUCAUUGGCAGCCUGAGAGGAAAGUCUUGUGCUUUGCACUCCUUAUUGCUUCAGGCCCUUGUGGGCCUCUCAGGCUAGCUUUUGUGAUGAUCUGGUGCAAGGUAAGUAUUGAUUGUUCUGGGAAGGACCCAGGUAAAAGGGUGCCUUAUAUUUGCAGUUCAUUCAGUGAAAAUAAAACAUCUAAUGUGCUCAUGUGCCAUGUGCUGGUGUUCAGGGACUGUGUGUUGAGAAGGAAACAAAAUUUUUAUUCCUUGCUCCAGUGCAUCCAGCUUCUAUUCUCUGUCCCACACUCAUCUUAGGGUGGAAAUCAGAAAUCUAAAACCGAUUUGGAGGAGCACUACACUGAAAAGUUCUGAAAGUGCUUUCAAAGCAUCAGUUGGCCACUGGUGAAUACCUAGGAGAAAGACAAAUAUACUGUGAACUUUCCUAGCACAGUUUCCAGCUCCCAAUGCAGGGCCUUCCAGAGUGUGAGGUAUUCCUUAAGUUAGUUAGAAGCUGGAUUUCCUUCCAUGGAUUUGCCUGGUUUGCAUAGAAGACCUUCUUUCCUUCUAAUCAAUCUGGUGUCACGCUUUGAGGUCAUCCCUGACACACACACAGGCUGGGAACAAGACCGGAGCACUGCUCAUCUCCAGGCAUUUAUCAGCAUCUCUUCCAAUGUUUAUUUGCUAAAAUGUGUGCUGCUGUCUGUUAUUCCCACCAUGCCUGCAAGGAGCACUGCUUCCUCUGCUGUUUCUUGGCAGUGGGGCAAUGAAGCAUCAUUCAGUUUCCCAUCGCAGAGCACACCUGAUGUGGAGGAGUGUGUCCUUGCACCCUGGAAGGA